This 366-nucleotide ribosomal RNA is filed under the name Triticum aestivum (bread wheat). Its description in RNAcentral is "partial small subunit ribosomal RNA". The record is from RNAcentral. Lineage: Eukaryota; Viridiplantae; Streptophyta; Magnoliopsida; Poales; Poaceae.
AUGCAAGAUCAGGUCGGCCUGGACCUGGACGGCUUCCCGCUCGACCACAAGUUUCUGGAGGACUACGGCCUGGAGGAAGAGGAUGAGUUGGACAUCGACGGGGAGCCUUUGUUCGAGGACGAGCUCGCCAACCAAGCCGCCAGGGCGAAGCCGAAGCGCAAGAGCAGGCGGACGAAGGCAUACACGGCGCCCGAGGACAAACUUCUUUGUGAGUGUUGGAGGGACAUUGGGCAAGACCCCAAGACAGGUGCAGAACAAAAGGCAUCAACCUUUUGGACUCGUGUCCAUCGCGAAUUCCAUGAACGCAAGAAGUUUCCGCCAUACCAAAUGCAAAGCACGCGCGGGUGGGUAUCCAUUUCGAAGCGA